Long non-coding RNA from Corvus hawaiiensis (hawaiian crow), 1627 nucleotides. RefSeq lists it as uncharacterized. The record is from RefSeq and is a predicted model, not a curated record. The transcript has 5 exons. Lineage: Eukaryota; Metazoa; Chordata; Aves; Passeriformes; Corvidae.
GGCAGCUGAACGGCAUCUCCCCAAGUGCAGAUGGGGCAGAUUAAAAGUGCAUGCAGAACACUGCCACAAACAGCUCUGAACACAGUCCUUCUGGGAACCAGAGCUGGGGACAUGAAAAAAAGAGCUAUAAUGGGUCUCCCUGCCUUCAGCUGCCAGGAGUGCUGAGAGGGGAACAAGUGCUCAUCCAAUAUCCCGAGGUAGAAGCACAAACAAGGCAGUAAAACUGAAGCACUCUGUGAGAUAAAUUUGCAGGGGUCAACUUCAAGUGAGAUCACAGCAUUGACCUUGCAUCCAGAGCCUCUGGCUUGCUGAGCGUGAGUGACCCCAGCCUGAUCUGUGGUGGGAUCAUUGCUCCCUGUCCAAGUGUGCCAUCAGGAGAGAGGUUGAGCAGACACACCCAUGGAAGUUGGUCCAGAUUGCCCUUCCCAGGUGGUAGGGCUGUGCUGGAUGGAUGGGAAUAGGGCAGGAGGAGGAACGUCAUCUCAGCAGCCGUUCUCAAGCUGAGCUAAUAAAGAGGAGCUGCAGACACAUAGGAAUAGCCUCAAGACUCCUUUGGUGAAGAUCUUCCAGCUCAAUUAUGUUUUCUGCAUCAUUUCAAUGUCCAGCAUGUAAAUGAAGAACGAUGCACCCAGGUUGCUGGUGGUGGGAAAGAGUGAAACUGAGUUAAAAACCCCUUUGAAGAGUUAUCCAAGGACACGGAGCUGGAGGACUCAUCCAAAGUGCUGGUGGCAUCCAAGAUGCUUGGGUUAUCUGAGGAGUGAGUUGCGAGCAUCAGAAAUGAACCAUUUAAAUACAACGUGCUAAACUGUUGAGAAAAAGGGCAAGCCCCUGUGAAGCCUUGCCUCCUCCUCAUCCUCCCACAUCCCAGCAUGGGCAGACCCUGCUUCCACUGGGAAAUGUACAAAUAGCCAGGAACCCAGAUGGUGUGAGGAAGGGGAGAGGGUGAGUCUGCGAGAACAUGAAGAACAAAAUGAGAAGGAGGAGUGGAUUUUUCUUGAUGCUUUCCACAGGCUGACCUUUGUCCUCUAUGGGGAGAUGGUCUUCCUUAUCAGCUCCUUGCAAAUUCCUUGUGAGGUGUGCACAGAGAGGAUGCCCAAGACUCUGAUGGAUAGAGGGAUGGAGAUGGAUGGAUGUAAGGACCCAUGCAGAAACACAACUUCUCCUCUCUUCUCCUGCUUCUCCAAUUUUCCUACACAAAUAUGCAUGUCCCAUCACUUAUCACUUCCUUCAAUCCUGACAACUGAUGAGAAAGUGUUUAGGACUCAAGGUCUUUAUUUAGUUUUCUAAUCAAGUAAUUUAAAUGUAUGAGUUGACACAAUAGGCAAAGAGCCAUAAGUCCCACUGCUUGCUAUUAUGUGUGAUUCUCCUUUGAGCAAAUAUAUAAUCACAGCCCUAAGUUAUAAUAAUUAUGUAAUAUUUCUUGAUAGAAGCAAUUGGAAUCCAUUGUGUAGGGAAGUAAUUACAGCCUACUUUGGUUCCUUUGUUUCUGAGUGGGUGGCAUUUAUGGGCAAAAAAAUUAUGCAUGCUCAAAAAUCUUUAUAAAAUGCUGGGUUCUCAGAAAAUCUUGGACCUCCUCAGACAUAUAGGAUUUUUAAGGGAUAAUAAAAUCUCUUUUUUUUCUGCAGUG